This 492-nucleotide small RNA is filed under the name Vigna angularis var. angularis. RNAcentral's name for it is "Non-protein coding transcript". The record is from RNAcentral. Lineage: Eukaryota; Viridiplantae; Streptophyta; Magnoliopsida; Fabales; Fabaceae.
CUCAUCUUCUCAUCGAGCCGUUAUUCUGGAGCAUUUCCCCUCCAUCAUCUGGAACCCUAAGUGAAAACAUAGUUUGGACUCCUUGAAGCUUCCUCCAUGAGUAAACACAACAGAAUGUAAGAACAACGGUGAACAGUGAGACGACGACAGAUUCGAUGAAGGACCUUAGCAAGAGUACUCCAAAGAGGAGGAAUGCGUCUGGAAAACCCUAGGUUCGUGAUAAUACUCUAGGAGCAGGAAGGAUUCGAAGCAGAGUGGAAAGUAGGAAGAUUGUUCGGUGAUAAAUACGAUUUAGGUCGUGUGUUCGGUGAAACGGUGCCAAAAUGAGGAUGUAAUCAGUGGAUUCGGUGGAGAAGGUUGUAACGAGGACGAAUCAAGUCGCAAGAUGUGAUUCAGUGAUGUGAAUCACGAAGAUGAAGGCUCUGUGAGAGUGAUGAGGAUUGUUGUGUGCAAAUAUAAAGUUGUGAGAUGGAGGAUCGUGAGAAACCCACG